Long non-coding RNA from Drosophila elegans, 367 nucleotides. RefSeq lists it as uncharacterized. NCBI's taxonomy places the organism in Eukaryota, Metazoa, Arthropoda, Insecta, Diptera, Drosophilidae. The record is from RefSeq and is a predicted model, not a curated record. The transcript is spliced from 3 exons.
CUUCUGCUUCUCCAGCUGCAGCUCCAUUUGCAGGGCCCUCAUGUGAGCCAAGGUUCCAGCCUUGCUGGCUGUGUAAGCCGCACUGUAGGACGAGAGAUUUCUCACCUGCUAGCGAACUUAUGGUGACUAUAAAACCCCGGCGAAACGCCUUCAUUGGCGGCAGGAACACAAAUUUAGUCUGCAAAAAAACAAUGAACAAGUAUUGAAAGAUAUCUAGAAAUAUCUAGGAACUGAAGGAGCUUAAGAAAAAUUCAAUUCCAACGUUUAUUUUAUAUUUAAGGCUUUGGCGCGAACAUUAUAGGUUUCCUGGAUUUGCUUGACGGUGUUCUCGGCCCCGGACAAAUUGAUAUCUACAACGGCAAUGUGG